RNAcentral lists this ribosomal RNA (461 nucleotides) under uncultured bacterium. RNAcentral's name for it is "partial 16S ribosomal RNA". It matches the Rfam family "Bacterial small subunit ribosomal RNA", at positions 338 to 795 of the family's 1533-position model. The record is from RNAcentral.
CCUACGGGAGGCAGCAGUGAGGAAUAUUGGUCAAUGGGCGGAAGCCUGAACCAGCCAAGUCGCGUGAGGGAUUAAGGCCCUGCGGGUCGUAAACCUCUUUUGCCGGGGAGCAGAGGUCCGGACGUGUCCGGGCCGGGAGAGUACCCGGAGAAAAAGCAUCGGCUAACUCCGUGCCAGCAGCCGCGGUAAUACGGAGGAUGCGAGCGUUAUCCGGAUUUAUUGGGUUUAAAGGGUGCGUAGGCGGUAUGUCAAGUCAAGGGUGAAAUCCCCGCGCUCAACGUGGGAACUGCCUUUGAAACUGGCAAACUGGAGUGUGUGAGAGGAUAGUGGAAUUCCAGGUGUAGGAGUGAAAUCCGUAGAUAUCUGGAGGAACAUCAGUGGCGAAGGCGACUAUCUGGCACAUAACUGACGCUGAGGAGCGAAAGCGUGGGUAGCAAACAGGAUUAGAUACCCGGGUAGUC